This 498-nucleotide long non-coding RNA is filed under the name Aotus nancymaae (Ma's night monkey). Its description in RNAcentral is "lncRNA (ENSANAG00000039165.1)". The record is from RNAcentral. Lineage: Eukaryota; Metazoa; Chordata; Mammalia; Primates; Aotidae.
AUGGAUGAAAGCUAUAACACCAUACACAGACAUACAUACACGUACGUGUGUGUAUGUGUGUAUGUGUAUUCUCUCUAUACAUAUAUAUCUGUGUGUGGGUCUCUGUAUGUGUGUCUAUGUGAUUGCAUUUCCUUCUUUCUGUUUUUGAGCUUUCUCAAAUGUUUUGCAGUGAGUUGGUAUUACAAAUAUAAUCAGGGAAAAGAAGCUAUUUUAAAAAAUCGGUCAUUGGGCAGGACGUUCCAAAGGGCAGAUGAAUGUAACUUCCAGGAUGAAGUAACCGGAUGUCUGUCAACUCAGAAAACAAGUGGCCAGAAGGAAGACAGAACCACAAACCCAGGAAUCUGGAAACCUCAUAGCUGGUGUUGUGCAGAACCACUAUCAACUCCAGUGGGGAUGGCGGCAGGUUCAAGAGGCUAAAGACGAGACCCAGAGCCAGCAGGUGAGGCAUGGGCUGGGGGCUUACAUAUAGGGGAGAGAGUCCAGUGGUGGUGGACUGGG